UGGUGGGUAGUUUGACUGGGGCGGUCUCCUCCUAAAGAGUAACGGAGGAGCACGAAGGUUGGCUAAUCCUGGUCGGACAUCAGGAGGUUAGUGCAAUGGCAUAAGCCAGCUUGACUGCGAGCGUGACGGCGCGAGCAGGUGCGAAAGCAGGUCAUAGUGAUCCGGUGGUUCUGAAUGGAAGGGCCAUCGCUCAACGGAUAAAAGGUACUCCGGGGAUAACAGGCUGAUACCGCCCAAGAGUUCAUAUCGACGGCGGUGUUUGGCACCUCGAUGUCGGCUCAUCACAUCCUGGGGCUGAAGUAGGUCCCAAGGGUAUGGCUGUUCGCCAUUUAAAGUGGUACGCGAGCUGGGUUUAGAACGUCGUGAGACAGUUCGGUCCCUAUCUGCCGUGGGCGCUGGAGAACUGAGGGGGGCUGCUCCUAGUACGAGAGGACCGGAGUGGACGCAUCACUGGUGUUCGGGUUGUCAUGCCAAUGGCACUGCCCGGUAGCUAAAUGCGGAAGAGAUAAGUGCUGAAAGCAUCUAAGCACGAAACUUGCCCCGAGAUGAGUUCUCCCUGAGACUUAGAGUCUCCUGAAGGAACGUUGAAGACGACGACGUUGAUAGGCCGGGUGUGUAAGCGCAGCGAUGCGUU
This 634-nucleotide ribosomal RNA is filed under the name Salmonella enterica. Its description in RNAcentral is "partial 23S ribosomal RNA". It matches the Rfam family "Bacterial large subunit ribosomal RNA", at positions 2259 to 2887 of the family's 2925-position model. Lineage: Bacteria; Pseudomonadati; Pseudomonadota; Gammaproteobacteria; Enterobacterales; Enterobacteriaceae. The record is from RNAcentral. RNAcentral also lists the same sequence under 3 other names.